CCAUCAUUCAGUUGGGCACUCUAGCGAGACUGCCGGUAAUAAACCGGAGGAAGUGGGAUGACGUCAAUCAUCAUGCCCCUUACUGACCUGGGCUACACACGUGCUACAAUGGUUGGUACAACGAGUUGCGAGUCGGUGACGGCGAGCUAAUCUCUUAAAGCCAAUCUCAGUUCGGAUUGUAGGCUGCAACUCGCCUACAUGAAGUCGGAAUCGCUAGUAAUCGCGGAUCAGCACGCCGCGGUGAAUACGUUCCCGGGCCUU
RNAcentral lists this ribosomal RNA (261 nucleotides) under uncultured Streptococcus sp. RNAcentral's name for it is "partial 16S ribosomal RNA". It matches the Rfam family "Bacterial small subunit ribosomal RNA", at positions 1118 to 1382 of the family's 1533-position model. Lineage: Bacteria; Bacillati; Bacillota; Bacilli; Lactobacillales; Streptococcaceae. The record is from RNAcentral.